Non-coding RNA from Fructobacillus sp. EFB-N1, 85 nucleotides. The record is from Rfam. NCBI's taxonomy places the organism in Bacteria, Bacillati, Bacillota, Bacilli, Lactobacillales, Lactobacillaceae.
UAACUAUCAAGAGCAGGGAAGUGAUACAGCACGGUGAACCUGCACCAACCGGCAUUCGCACGGUGGUAAUUCUGUAAGAUAGGCA